Long non-coding RNA from Apis cerana (Asiatic honeybee), 2945 nucleotides. RefSeq lists it as uncharacterized. The record is from RefSeq and is a predicted model, not a curated record. NCBI's taxonomy places the organism in Eukaryota, Metazoa, Arthropoda, Insecta, Hymenoptera, Apidae.
AAUUUCAAGAAAAUUUGCAGGCGCUGCAUAAGCGUCAUCCAGAGUCUGUUUUUUAACAUUUAAACGACGUGUAGCGUCCACUGUCGUAUCCGCCAUACCUUUUAACUGUAAAUUAAUUAAACAGUUUAAAUAUCACCUAAAAAACAAAUUCGAUACAAUGGAUAAUGAAAGUUCGUCAAAUGACAGCGGUAAGAAACUUGACACAAUUUAUUCUCAUGUGUUAUGUCUAUGGUUAUGAUAUAAGAGAAUGGAGAUAGAGAGGAAACUUACAAAUUAAAUAAGAUACGUAUAUUAUGUCUAUAAAAUAAUAUUAAAACUACGUUUUUGUCAAAUUUAUAUUUUUAAUUGAUUAAAUUUUAAUAUAAUCAUCUUUCAGUAAUAAUAUAAUAAUAUUGCAAAAUUACGCUAAAUAAAUUAAAUAUAUAAUUAAAUAUUCUAAUAGUAUGUAAUAGUUACGGAUAUUAUAUAGAUGUAUUAAUCGAAAGUUACAUAUUGACUCUAGUUAUUAUACGUUAUAUAAAAUAAAUGUUUUAAAAAUAUUUAAAAAUUGAUACAUAAAUAUAUCAAUAUUUUUUCUUAUACAUAUAAUUAAUAAACAAUAAUAAAAUAAGAUAUAUAUAAUUUCAAAAAUUCGAUAUGUAUACAAUUAUGAAAUUGUAUAAUAAUACACAUUUGAUUAUGGUUUAUUCAAAAUUUUAAAUUUUAAAGAAUAAUAAAAUACGAAGUUGUUUAUAUUAAAUAUGAAAUAUUUUUUCAAUAAUUAUUGAAUUGGAAAUUGACAAAAUUUAUUCAAUUAAAAUAACUUAUGAUAUUAAAGUAUAUUUAUUGAGCAUUAAAACAUCAUAUUAAAACAAUGAUUUUUAUUAUUGUAUAAAACAAAUCUUAUUACUCUUAACACAAUUAUAUAUAUUGUCACAUCUAACAAAUUUUUCAGGUAAUGAUAUAUUUUGAUAUUUUAUGAUAUACAAGUAAUUAAUAAAUUAAGAUAAAAAUUUUAGUUUGUUUAUACAAUGAGAUGUGAGACGUUUGCAGCUGGCGAUAAUCUGAUAUCAUCUGAACGAGGAAUAGGACGUUGACGGAUAUCACUAUCUCCUGGCCAUGCUCGACCAGGACUUCGUGGAGUCACGUUUGAUCUAGCUACCGUAUCGACUGCUAAACUCACGGUUGUAGGAUCGUUAAAGCCGUUACUUUGAAUCCUUCGUUGAGCAGCUAUCGAAGCCCGCAAAGUUUUCCGUUUCUGCAUUUCAAAAACCAAAAAUCAAAAAAUUGAACUAAAUAUAAACUAGAUAUUAAAUAUUUUAAACAAUUGCAUUCAUUUCAUUGCUUUAACUAAUGCUAUUGUAUUCGUAUUGCAAUAUAUAAAAAAUAUUAAAAAUUAAUUAUAAAUAGUGAUAUUUUGUGCUUCUAUGAUAAUAAUGAUAGCUUUUUGCAGUAGCAUAUUAAAAUCUAGAAAUUUUCUCUCAAUUUUUGUAUAUAUUUUUAAAAGAAAAGACUAAAAAGAUAUUAUUAGUAUCAGUAUAAUUAUCAGUAUAAAAAAGCCAACAGUAUGAUGCAAUAUAAAAAAAGCAAUUUUGGUGUAGAAUACGAUAAUUAUUUUUUUUUUCAUCGUAGCUUACACCUUUUUCAUUAAAAGUUGAAUCUCAUUGCAUUAACUAAUUUAUUUUUAUUAUUGAAGCUUGCAAAGCGAUGAAUAUUUGUGCUUUGAUCUAUGUUCAUCUGAUAAUCGUAUUCUUUUUUGUUACUGAGAUCUGUUAGAAUUUCCUGCGUUGCUCCCCUAAUUUGUCCUGGCUGCUUGCAAUUUACUAAUAAACAUAGAAUUCUGAGAAAAAGAACGAAAGAUAUCGAACACAAGAAAAUCGGUUUCUGCUAAAAAUUUAGUAUAUUCAAAUUUUUCUUUACCUCAAUUGCACCUCUCCAUUUAUCGGCUGCAUGUCUUGCUAAUUCCAUCUUCUUUUGCUUACGAAUCUGAUGCUUUUUAUACGCUACUUCGAUAAUAAUUAGUCCGAUGCCACCAAUAAUUCCAACACCAACUACUAUAAACACUCCGGCCAUAUUUUUUAAGCCCAAAGUAUUGGGAGCUUUUUCAAGUUGUUCGCAUUGCUGUACAUUACUUCGGAGAAUCCAAUGAUUGUCGAGACUCUCCAUAAAGCCACCUAAAAAUAUAUUAUAUAUUUAAUAAUAAUUGAAAAAAUUAUUAAUUAAUAUUUCUUUUUAUUAACUUUAAUAUGUGAUAAUUUUUGUAUCAUAAAUUUUUUAUUAUUUUAGGUAAUAAUUUAUAUUAAUUCUUACUUUCGUGGAAGUCUAAAAUAGCAAGAGUUACUGCAUCUGCCCAUAAAGAACCUUUUUGCAAACCAAUCCCGUAGCCAGAACGACCAAAUAAUUCUCCAGCAGUUACUAAUUCGCAAUCUUGAGCAGCUUCGAAUUCUAAUCGAGAACUAUCCCAGAUAAAAGCCAUAAGUUUCCUAGCAUAAUAUAAUUCUUAAAAUUAUAUUCUCUUAGAAUUGCUAAUGAUUUUAUAGCAACCAGAAUUUUUUUUUCUUUACCCAAUUUUUAUAUCUCUAAUAGCUUCUUCGGCAGUAUCGUAAUUGUUCGCUUCCAUUGUACGAUACAUAUUGGAUAAUUCGACUUGACGACGGAAAUACAUGUCUACAGCAGAACCUUUUACCGUGGCACAUGUAAGAUUCUCCAUAGUAUUUCUAAGCUAUAAAUAUAUGCUAUAAAUAUAUGCAUGUGAUAUUUCGCAGGUAAUGUAAUAUCUUUGUUACUUUAACUAAAAUCAAUAUUAACAUAGUAACAAAAUAGCAAUAACAAUAAUCAAUAAAUGUAUAUACAUAUAUAUAAAAUAUUAUAAAAAUAACUCGAUAAAGAAUUUAAAAUUAUAAAUGUUAAUAAAAAAAAUAUUAUAAAUAUAAUAAAAAAAUACAUAUAAAAUAUAUGCAGUAUAA